Zophobas morio is the source of this 1418-nucleotide long non-coding RNA. RefSeq lists it as uncharacterized. NCBI's taxonomy places the organism in Eukaryota, Metazoa, Arthropoda, Insecta, Coleoptera, Tenebrionidae. The record is from RefSeq and is a predicted model, not a curated record. The transcript has 3 exons.
UCAAGCAACAACUUCAUCACUCCCUGUCAAUCGCUUCAUUUUCAAAAUUUCUCGUUCUUCAUCUAAUAUUUCCAUUUCGUCCAAAAAUGGUGUGUAAAAUAAAUAAAAGAACAGUUCGACGGCCUCAUCAAUUCAGGUUGUGGUAACACGAUAACUCUCGACCAAAUUAUUAAGUGGUUUACUGAAGUUAAACUCUUGGACUCGAAAUUUACACAAGAUGAAGUAAAAUCGGCUUUUGAAAAAAUGAAGGUGAUCGAUCUCAACCACGACCAAUGCAUGACAUUUUUGGAAGAAUUAGCCCAAAUGAAAAGCAUGCCUCUGAGCGAAUUAGAAGACGAACUCGGAAAAUGUAAGGUUGCGGAUCUCGUUAAAGCGGCUGGAACUCCUGGAAAGAGCUGCAAAAGAACUGCCAAGUAGUGCUUCAACUCAUAUUAUUAUUAAACCGAAUGCUGCCAAAUUUCCGUCAAGUUUCUUCGGAAGAAUGACAAUCUAUUUAAUCUUAACGAGGUUCGGUGAAGUCGAACGACGUAUUCCGCCCAAACUGCUUUCAUGCCCAAAAGUAGCGAUCCACAAAAUAAGCUCCAAUUAAAUACAAAGAGGAAAAAGCAAAACAUGUUGAAGCUCUUUUAUUAAAAUUUGCUCUAAGCAGUAAGCCUUUAAUCCAGAUAGUAAGUUGUUUUCGACGAAAAUAAUUUGUUUUAUGCUCCCGACAAAAAUACAUUCGGCGGUCCUGGAAUAUUUCGUUUAUGGAAGUAUUAAAAGUAAGGUAAGAUCUGGAAAAAUACGGUCUGUUCGUUAUUGGAUGUUGAAAGCUUUACCGAAAAGCUUAUUAAAUUCUUCUUUCAAAGAAGUCCUUCCAUUUAUUCUUUGACGGCGCUGUACUUCUAUCUAAAAUUAAUAUUCGUAAUCAAAGAAGCAGCAUACGAGGCGCGGAACGAGAAAAAAAUCAUUGAAUUAUUAGUUUAUUCGAUCUGGAGCUGAUAUCUCUCUUCGGCGAUGUUGCAGCGAUAUUUCAGGAGCGUGACGUCCAUUAUAGCCGAGUCCUGGAAGAUACCACUAGAGGCGCGACCUCACGUACACUGUUACCCAUAAACCUCAUUUCAGGAAUAUUUUAUUGUGGGGAGUUUUAAGCUUACAUUUCACUGUAUUCGGAAGACAGGACGCGUAUGCAGAUUUGUGCUAAUUCCGGAAAAUGGCGCAAAUUAUGGCGGACUUCUGGGACGGAAAUAUGGGGCCUGCACGUCGCGCUAAAAAUUGAUAAUUAUGGAGGAACGUGUCCGAAGGAAAUUACCUCCAACAAUACGAAAUUAAAUCAAGCACACCUGAAGUUGGACUAUUAUCAAGUCUAAUUUUGCUGUAGAAUUUUUCAAAAUUAAUUAUUUUUUUAUUUAUCAUUAUUACUAUGUUUUUGCAAUUAA